This 610-nucleotide ribosomal RNA is filed under the name uncultured phototrophic eukaryote. RNAcentral's name for it is "SSU rRNA". It matches the Rfam family "Bacterial small subunit ribosomal RNA", at positions 44 to 695 of the family's 1533-position model. The record is from RNAcentral.
AUGCUUNACACAUGCAAGUCGAACGGGAAGUGGUGUUUCCAGUGGCGGACGGGNGAGUAACGCGUAAGAACCUGCCCUUGGGAGGGGAACAACAGCUGGAAACGGCUGCUAAUACCCCGUAAGCUGAGGAGCGAAAGGAGGAAUCCGCCCAAGGAGGGGCUCGCGUCUGAUNAGCUAGUUGGUGAGGUAAUAGCUUACCAAGGCGGUGAUCAGUAGNUGGNUCCGAGAGGAUGAUCAGCCACACUGGGACUGAGACAAGGCCCAGACUCCUACGGGAGGCAGCAGUGGGGAAUUUUCCGCAAUGGGCGAAAGCCUGACGGAGCAAUGCCGCGUGGAGGUAAAAGGCCUACGGGUCAUGAACUUCUUUUCCUGGAGAAGAAACAAUGACGGUAUCUGGGGAAUAAGCAUCGGCUAACUCUGUGCCAGCAGCCGCGGUAAGACAGAGGAUGCAAGCGUUAUCCGGAAUGAUUGGGCGUAAAGCGUCUGUAGGUGGCUUUUUAAGUUCGCCGUCAAAUCCCAGGGCUCAACCCUGGACAGGUGGUGAAAACUACUAAGCUAGAGUACGGUANGGGCAGAGGGAAUUUCCGGUGGANCGAUGAAAUGCGUAGAG